Physcomitrium patens is the source of this 6124-nucleotide non-coding RNA. Lineage: Eukaryota; Viridiplantae; Streptophyta; Bryopsida; Funariales; Funariaceae. The record is from RefSeq and is a predicted model, not a curated record.
AUAUAUAUAUAUGGUCAGGAUGUUUUUUCUCUGCUGAUUCGGACUAGGGAGUUGUGGGAAUCGCAUGUGAUCGUGGCAUUCACGGCGUACGAUGUAUUGAUAAGGUCAUUUCCUUGGAUUAUUAGAUGCCGUGUUGGCCGGUGGCAGCUAGGUGUACACUGGCUCACACAAACUGGUUGCUACAGGAAUUGUCACGAGUAUAGUUUGCAGUUAGGUGUGCACUUGAAGCCUCUCUAUUUCCGUUAGCAUUUCAAUGCAUUCCAGCCCCAACUCCCAACUCCCAACUCCCACGAUCUCUGCUUGUUUGUGCACAUUGGUACUGAAUUAUGAACGGACUUUUGCUUGCUACCAAGUCCUGAAAUGACCACAAUUAUUUCAUUCCAUGUUUCUCUACUACGAGUCGAUGAAGGGGAUUGAAUAUUUCCUCAUUAUAUAUUAUAUGCGAUUUUAGGAUAUCUCUCACGUUUGAUGACUCUAGUGGUUGGUAAUUAUUGUAAAUACGUACUAUCAUGCUCUUACUUGCUCAACAUUUAAUGAGCGUUAUUCACAUUUACCCUUUUCCAGCCGAAGCGUUUGGUCUCGCCAACAAUAGAUCCCUUCAUUUGCUCCAAGUGACCAAAUUGAUGGAGUAGAAGCUCAGCCGUUAGAAAUUUGAGCUCUGAGACUACUCGGUAUUUGUAUACUUCUCGGCUCUUCAAUCUGUCCCACUCGAAGGGCGUAAAGAUCAAUCAAGCGCUGUAACGUCUUCAAAUAAUUUAAAGUAACAGGUAAUCAGCGUUCCGUAACAAAAGACAAAAAUUCUCUUCAUGCAGUUUAAAUUUAAAUUUACUUGACGAUGUACUAUUCAUAUCUUAGAAUGUUGCAGUGUCGUAUCACACCUAAGUAUAAUACUUCUGCUGUACUCCAAUUUGCCCUUCGACCAGUCAGCAUGGGAACAUUACCGUCACACAUUGCCGCUAUCCAAUCCAGGGGUAAACUGCAAGGAAUGGCAAGGAAGACUCGCAGGAUGGUAAUCUCAGGCGAAAGAUUCAUGCUCAGAUGCGUCAACGCAUCCUAUUUGCAAUCGCCAACGAUGAAUCACGUUGAUCCGGACAGGUUCGAUGGAUGUAAGAUAGGCGUCUUCAACGCACUGCAUAUAUCAGUACAGAUUGUCGUCGCGUGCGACAAUAUCGUUUUCCUUCAAUCAAUCGCUCUUUAUACUUCAACUUAUCGAUUUCUGUCUAUGAGAUCCGCGACACAUCUCGCUGAAUUGCAAUGCUGUCUUGUCUCUCUUUUUUCUGUUAUGUGUUGUUUGCAGUCGCGAGUGGUUGUGGUUUUCCUCGUUUCCUGUGGCGUUGAGGCGAGUUGAUCAGUUGAGGGGUUUGAGUUCAGACACAGACAUCCUUGUGGGGCAAUUGGUGGCGUUCUCGCCGAGCAAGAGCUGAUUUCUGUUUGACGGAUAGCCUAAAUUGAGCUUUCCAGUCCUCAACAUGGUGCACCAGGGGAAAGCGCUUCGGCGUAUUACCAGCAUGAAAGAGCGAGUCUAGAACUCUUUGCAGGAUAAUCGUAAUCAACUUCUCAACCUACUGCAGGGCAAUGUUGACGACAUAAAGAGCAGCGCCUUUGGGAAACUUAUCAAUAAUUGCCAUUUAAAGUUUCCAAGAGCUGCCUUUGGGUUCAACGUCCCUAUUUAGCGCUUGAAGCACGGGGUUUACCUCUCAUGUAACGUGAGAUCAAAAUACUUCACGACAGCUCUGUUCCUAAUGUUGGAAGAAGAGUUCGCAUGUACAGGAAGCCAUAGUUUCGGCCCCUUGGGUUGGAUUGGCUGUCCGUCCGAGGCCUGGAAUCUGGGAGUGUGUGCGCGUCAAAUGGGCACGGCGUGGAGUUUCUGAAUCGUCAUUUGUCACCCGAGCUUUUUCAUUCUCCGGAGAGCAUGGAGCCUUCGUUUCAGUUCCUUCGAGUUCAUACCUACCGAGGAAAGGUACUGAGUGAGUAUAAUCAAUUGUUCUGCGUGAAAUGUUUCAGUUUAAGCAGCCGUUCAUAAUUACUAUUGUUUGACAAGGUGAGUGUGAAGAGGUUAUUGUAUCUGGUUGUCAGCACAGAUUUUGAUGCUGAACAAUCGGAUUGCAAGCUUUUCAAGGUUUCGUCCACAACUGAUGAAAGCUGAAGAGUUUCUGUUGAGAAUUCCAGACACAUUAGAAAAGUUUUAGGCGGGAAUUCCCAUGGUGUUAAUUCCCGCAUUGAGUCAUACGUUUGGGACAUGCAAAUCAAGCUUUGAAAUUUUUGCUUUCUUUACUCCGAGUCACGAUGGUUUUUGUUGUUUAAAAGGAGGGAGUGGCUGGAUUUUAAUGCUCUUCGGAACUUCCCAGGUGUUGCAAGUUCAGUAUGGGGUGUUUACCGGAUGAGCUUUGGACGAAGAUUUUAGGUCUAGGAAUAGAGAAAGAAGUUCUGGAUUACAGGGAUUUGUGUUCUUUGGCGUUUGUGUGUCGUCGCAUCAAACAAAUUUCUUAUUUUGACCGCAUGUGGCGCUCUUUGUGGGAGCGAGAUCAAGUAAAGCUCAGUGUCGGGUCUUCGUCGCGGAACUUGGUUGUGGAACCUGGCAUGGCACGGAAGGAAAAUGAUGCAAAAGCUUUUAGAGAUUUGUAUAGAAUUCGGUUCGAGGAAGUGAGGGCUGCCAAAAGGACUGCCAAAAGGCGCAACGUGCUAAGGGUAAAAUACUGGUUGAAAAACGCAUACACUCCACAUGUGAUGAAAACUCGUAGAAUUCUCAUCGAAGAUGAUAUUUGAAUCAGGGUCUGUUAGAUCUGUGUAGGUGUGUCUCUUUGCAGGUAUACGUGGAAACUAUAUGCCGAACGUGUAAUGAGACUCUCCGGGGUUUACGAGUUAUGAAAGAUUGUUUCCAAAUUGCACAGGCAGGAAGCCGGAAGAUAUUUGGAGAUGUUUUACAUUCUCAUGUUCCGUAAACUGGUCUGACCUACACGUGGUACGUCUUCAGAUUUUAGAGAUGUAGAAGUUCCCAGUACAAGGGUUCGAUCCAAUUUUUGAAAAGAUGCUUGCAUAAGUAUUUGUUCAUCAAUUUCAGACAGAUUGGUUCUGUCGCUUGAAUUGGGAAGUAUGCCUCUCCAAGUUUAAAAAUAACAUGCUAAAAAUUAAAAUCACCACUAGGUGUAUUCCGAGUGAAGGAUGUAAGACUUCUGAAGCUUUGAUAGAUCUUUAUCAAUAUCAGUUUUAGUUAUUGGUAACCAUUUCGGUGGGCAUACUCCAAUCCAAGAUUUAUCAGACACAGAUCUCAAAUGGUGAUGAAGAACACUCAAAGCUUGAAGUUAUAUCAAUAAAGUCUUCAUGGCUUAUGGUCUGAAUGAUAACAUUUCGAAUCCAAAACUGGUGGCCAUUUUUACAACAGUUUCUCAAUAACAACUCUGCUCUUCUUAGUAAAAUUGGCAAUUUACCAAAGAUUCUCAGGCACACACAUUCAAAUUCUUGGUUAUGCUUCACGUAGUCGUAUUUAGAUUGAAUUCGUCUAAAUUUACAUACAUCCUUCUCGAGAUCUUUCUUGACUUUAAUGAGAACGAUUUUUAAAGCGACACAUUGAUACAUGAAAUGUAAUUCUUAAGAUUUUCUAGGAGGCUUUCUAGAAGAUUCUUCAAUGAGUGAGCUUACAACAACAUUUUUAAUAAUCUUUUCUAUUAUAAUUGGAACACUGAGUAUGUGAUUAGGAUCUGAAAUUCGUGGUUAAUAAAAGAACAAAUAUACACUUUCUUUUUUAUUAAAUGUCAAAAUUAUAAGAAUUACUAUAAAACGAAGCAUUACCGUUGUGACAGAAUGUUUCAUUUAAGAUUUUUCAUAAAAGCCAACUGGUGUUGAACAAGACUCACAAUAUGUCUUGAGCUGGGAAAAAUCAUGUGCAAGUCUUUUCAAGAAAAGAUGAAUCCACUUGUUUCGAAAAGGGAUGGAAAUUCAUAUCCUAUAUCAAGGCAACAAAAACAUCACAAACGUUUUAAAAACAAGUUUUUGAAAAUAUUCUAUUCCAGCAAUUAUAAAUGAUCCUAAACCAAAAACUUUAAAAAUAAACAUUUCAGAUAUUUCAACUAUAUAAUUAAACAUUGUUCUUUCAACUAUGCACAAAAAUACAUCACCUGAUUAUAAGAUCUUUGAAUAUAAAUAUACUAAAUAAAAUUGAAACAAAAGAGUUACCAUUAAAGUUUAAUUUUAACCAAGUUAAAUUUUCAGAGGAAGUUGGUUACCAAUCAAUAUGAUUCGCUAAGAAGUACUUACCUUGGGGUUGUAAGGCGAAUGAAGUUUUGAAGACAGUUGAGAGCAUUCAUCGUAUAUCUUUUCUUUGAAAUGUUCAUCAUUUGCACUUGCAUGGCAUUUGCAUUGCAUAUGUUACUAAUUCUACGUGGUGUACAACAUCAUCUCUGGGAAUAUGUCAUGACGCCACAAGUACGAACUUCAACAGUUUCCGAGACAGUUCCUCGGUAUGAAAAUCUCCAAAACUUAGCUUCGGAAAGUAUCGUGCCAACUUCUUACCUGAGGGUGUAGCAACUGCUGGGAUUACAUCUCCCGAAAUGCCAACGAAUGCAUCCUCGUGUACUUUUCAGGAGUUGACGCGAACCUUGUGUCCUCAAGAAAUGAGAAAUAUCUUUGUAACCAGUACAAAGGGCUCAUUGUGGAUGCUAUAUCCAAGACUUCGAAGUGGCUAUUGCUAUCGAAAAUAACUGAUUUAAGAGCUAAAAACUCACGAUGAUCAGAGUCGAAAUUGUCAGGAUUGUCGGCGAUUAUGAUGUUUGACCACGAAGAAAGACGCUUAUGUAACCUGAACGCAAUAUUUCGAAGCAAUACUUCACUUGUUCAUAAGUACAAUAUGCUAAGUCUCAAAUCACAAGAACAAACCAUCUCAUCCCAAAGUAUCCAGUUAACUUUAGGAUCUGUUACGUUGACUAAGAUGAAACUAUGAUAUUGUGCAUGUUGCCUGUUUAUUAACGAAUUUGGCUCCAUUGGAAUUGAAAGAGAGGAUGUCCACAAGAUCUCCAGAGACAAGAGCCUCCAGGAACCCACAUAAUAUUUCUUGUCUCACAUUCAAGUUGGUGGUGCCCUCAGAUUUCACAAAGUUAGACAUAGAGCUCCCACAAUCUAUCAAAAUCUUGUUGUUUUAUUGGCGGAGCAACCCUGUACCUGCCAACAGGAGGUAAAGAUCAUUAUGUACGAAUGACGAUAUAUAAUAAAUUCAUGUGAAUAUAUAACGGCCCGGUCACGUUGGAGUUGCGCGAAGUUCAAAAUCACCAGUGAGGCCAAACAUAAGAAUGAACCAAAUUCAUGAGUUUGAAGGUAAUAAGGACCAUACCAAGGCCGAACUCCAAGGUCGAAAACUGGGUAUGUGACAUGAACAUGUGUUGUCUUGGCUAAAUUGGCGUGGAUGGCGUCGGGAGAUUUGGACAAACAAUCUCCGCUAUCCAUCAUCAUGCUGGUUUGCUUCAAGGCUGGAAAUUCAGCCCUUUUCCUGUUAACAAAAGGUAAAGAAUCCAUGAAAAUCAACAGCAAUCUUUGAUACAUUCUGGUGUACCUUUAAGAGCCAAGCACAACAGAAUUUCUCAAGGUUAAGAUCUUUGUGUGUAGAAUCAAAACUCGAGAAUUCUAGCUAGUUUCAAAUUCGAAAUCCUGAACAACCCAUUCUCCUACGAAAAGAUCUUUAAAACGUAAAAGUAUCACAAAACCACAAAGAGGUCAUUUCAGACGAAUCAACAAAGUGCCGCCGUAACCAACAUCAUAACGAAUUUCUUUCACAUGAUUCCAGAACCAUUUUAAUCUGUAUGAAGGUGAUGAAGAGCAGAAGACGGCGGUGAGUCAGGUAGUGUUCGAGUAAACGUACAUGUAACUCUGUUGGCAGUCGAGAAUUUUAAAUACUGGGUUAGAGCCAUUGUUACCCCGUGAACCAAAAUGGACUCGUGUAGUGUUACUAGCCGCCAGGAGAUUCGAUGAAUUAAGUGCUCGUUUACUGCACUCAACCCAAGUACACGUCGAGGCGCGAGUUGUAUGAAAUUCUGCACAAAGUACAUUAUCCUCAUCAGAAAAUUGCAAGAGGGAUUACGAGAUUUUGGUAAAACAUUACUACUUCUGUGAAGAUAAAGAAUUGUUUUUUUCUUUC